RNAcentral lists this ribosomal RNA (465 nucleotides) under uncultured Klebsiella sp. Its description in RNAcentral is "bacterial SSU rRNA". It matches the Rfam family "Bacterial small subunit ribosomal RNA", at positions 338 to 795 of the family's 1533-position model. The record is from RNAcentral. Lineage: Bacteria; Pseudomonadati; Pseudomonadota; Gammaproteobacteria; Enterobacterales; Enterobacteriaceae.
CCUACGGUUGGCAGCAGUGGGGAAUAUUGCACAAUGGGCGCAAGCCUGAUGCAGCCAUGCCGCGUGUGUGAAGAAGGCCUUCGGGUUGUAAAGCACUUUCAGCGGGGAGGAAGGCGUUAAGGUUAAUAACCUUGGCGAUUGACGUUACCCGCAGAAGAAGCACCGGCUAACUCCGUGCCAGCAGCCGCGGUAAUACGGAGGGUGCAAGCGUUAAUCGGAAUUACUGGGCGUAAAGCGCACGCAGGCGGUCUGUCAAGUCGGAUGUGAAAUCCCCGGGCUCAACCUGGGAACUGCAUUCGAAACUGGGAGGCUAGAGUGUUGUAGAGGGGAGUAGAAUUCCAGGAGUAGCGGUGAAAUGCGUAGAGAUCUGGAGGAAUACCGGUGGCGAAGGCGGCCCCCUGGACAAAGACUGACGCUCAGGUGCGAAAGCGUGGGGAGCAAACAGGAUUAGAUACCCCGGUAGUC